AGCAUGUGGUUUAAUUCGAAGCAACGCGAAGAACCUUACCAGGUCUUGACAUCCCCUGACAACCAAGAGAUUGGGCGUUCCCCUUCGGGGGACAGGGUGACAGGUGGUGCAUGGUUGUCGUCAGCUCGUGUCGUGAGAUGUUGGGUUAAGUCCCGCAACGAGCGCAACCCUCGCCUCUAGUUGCCAGCAUUCGGUUGGGCACUCUAGAGGGACUGCCGGCGACAAGUCGGAGGAAGUGGGGAUGACGUCAAAUCAUCAUGCCCCUUAUGACCUGGGCUACACACGUGCUACAAUGGGCGGUACAAAGGGCUGCGAACCCGCGAGGGGGAGCGAAUCCCAAAAAGCCGCUCUCAGUUCGGAUUGCAGGCUGCAAUUCGCCUGCAUGAAGUCGGAAUCGCUAGUAAUCGCAGGUCAGCAUACUGCGGUGAAUACGUUCCCGGGCCUU
This 445-nucleotide ribosomal RNA is filed under the name uncultured Geobacillus sp. RNAcentral describes it as "bacterial SSU rRNA". It matches the Rfam family "Bacterial small subunit ribosomal RNA", at positions 936 to 1382 of the family's 1533-position model. The record is from RNAcentral. Lineage: Bacteria; Bacillati; Bacillota; Bacilli; Caryophanales; Anoxybacillaceae.